This 292-nucleotide ribosomal RNA is filed under the name uncultured bacterium. RNAcentral describes it as "partial 16S ribosomal RNA". It matches the Rfam family "Bacterial small subunit ribosomal RNA", at positions 505 to 796 of the family's 1533-position model. The record is from RNAcentral.
GUGUCAGCAGCCGCGGUAAUACGUAGGGUGCAAGCGUUGUUCGGAAUUACUGGGCGUAAAGCGUGUGUAGGUGGCUCGUUAAGUCUGGUGUGAAAGCCCUGAGCUCAACUCAGGAAUUGCAUCGGAAACUAACAAGCUGGAGUCCGGGAGAGGGUAGUGGAAUUCCUGGUGUAGAGGUGAAAUUCGUAGAUAUCAGGAGGAACACCGGUGGCGAAGGCGGCUACCUGGACCGGUACUGACACUGAGACACGAAAGCGUGGGGAGCAAACAGGAUUAGAAACCCUGGUAGUCC